UCAUUUCUCUAAUUCUCUCUCUUGCACAAAAUCUUCUUCUUCCUUCAACCUCAAAUCUUCUUGCUUCUUCAUCUUUUUCUUCUUCGUUCUACCUUUUCUUCUUCUUCCUCCUCUUUUUCUUAUUGAAACCAAAUCGAAACAACCACUGAUCUGUGAUAUCAAUUUAUGAUUUCAAAAAUAAACUCAGAUCUUCCUCUUCUUAUUUCUUCUACAAAUCUUUGUUUAUUUUAUAUAUUUUUAUUAACUAACUUAAUUUUUUCAUUUGUCUGUUUUUCAGUUGUUAUUUAUCACUCAUCACUUAGAUCUGGAAAUUAAAGAGGAUUAAAACAUGCUGGAAAUAAUGAAGAUGAAGAGACGGAUAAAUUUCAUCAACAGAAACAAAGUUAUUAAUGUUAGUUUUUUUCUCAUGAUUUAGACCUUACACUUACUUGACCUUCAUUUUCUCUCAUCAAGUUAACCGAUUCUACUCAAAGAAAUGGUAGACCAGAAAGCAAAAACAAGUAACUAAAUGAUGCACUCUAUGAUAGAGAAGCAAUAUUUGAUUUUGAAUUUACUGUCCAAUACAUUUUUCAUGAAGACAUGUUAUUGUACUUUCUAAGUUUCUUUAGAAUAUUUUAGAUAACUCACCAAUAAAUCAUUCAAAAGUAUAUAUUUAUUUCAAUAAAAUAUAUUUUGAUUUUAUUAUAAUGCUUAAAAAAAUUAUAAAAUAUUUUAUGAAUAUAAAAGUGUGAUUAUAAUUUUUUAUAAAACACGAUUAAAUUUUUAGAAUCUCCUCACUUGGGAUAAAAGUUUUUACUUGAAAAAAAAUCAUAUACAUGAUUCUGAUAUUAAAUAUGGUUUAUUUUCCCGUCCUUUCUAUUUAAACUUAUUUAUUUAUUUUAAUGUUUUAUGUAUAAUUUUUUAUUUAUUUCACUUGGUAUAAAUUUAUUUAUUGGCAUAAAUUUUGUAAAGUCAUCUUCCUGAUAGGAGUUUUGCAGGAGUGGAUUGAUAAGCCAAAUUUUUGUAAAAGGUACAAUGGUUUGUCAGCAUUGAUCAUCGAUAUAAGUGUUGCAAGAGUGCAUUGUAAAGCCAAAUUUUUGUCUUUCCUCAUACACAACAGUAGGAUGUAGACUUUUCUAAAGCAAUGUCUAUUCAUUCAUAUUAUGCACACUUUUCUAAAGCAAAUGUCUAUUCAUUCAUACACUAAUUAUAUUUUUAAGUUGUAAGUUUAGUUUGUACAGCUAUGCCAAACACUACUUUGCUUAGUACAAUUCUACUAUUUCAA
Vicia villosa (hairy vetch) is the source of this 1264-nucleotide long non-coding RNA. RefSeq lists it as uncharacterized. NCBI's taxonomy places the organism in Eukaryota, Viridiplantae, Streptophyta, Magnoliopsida, Fabales, Fabaceae. The record is from RefSeq and is a predicted model, not a curated record. The transcript has 2 exons.